GACGAACGCUGGCGGCGUGCUUAACACAUGCAAGUCGAACGGAAAGGCCCUGCUUUUGUGGGGUGCUCGAGUGGCGAACGGGUGAGUAACACGUGAGUAACCUGCCCUUGACUUUGGGAUAACUUCAGGAAACUGGGGCUAAUACCGGAUAGGAGCUCCUGCUGCAUGGUGGGGGUUGGAAAGUUUCGGCGGUUGGGGAUGGACUCGCGGCUUAUCAGCUUGUUGGUGGGGUAGUGGCUUACCAAGGCUUUGACGGGUAGCCGGCCUGAGAGGGUGACCGGCCACAUGGGGACUGAGAUACGGCCAAGACUCCUACGGGAGGCAGCAGUGGGGAAUAUUGCACAAUGGGCGGAAGCCUGAUGCAGCAACGCCGCGUGCGGGAUGACGGCCUUCGGGUUGUAAACCGCUUUCGCCUGUGACGAAGCGUGAGUGACGGUAAUGGGUAAAGAAGCACCGGCUAACUACG
RNAcentral lists this ribosomal RNA (466 nucleotides) under uncultured bacterium. Its description in RNAcentral is "partial 16S ribosomal RNA". It matches the Rfam family "Bacterial small subunit ribosomal RNA", at positions 28 to 505 of the family's 1533-position model. The record is from RNAcentral.